AGAGAGAAAAUAUUAAUAACUAAAUUGGUGGGGUGCGCCAGCAAUUGCUAUAGUGCAACGCAAGAGCGACACGCGAGAGACCCAAUAGCAAGCUACUGUGGUGGACUCUCCCCCUCAAGAAAUAAAUUUAAUAUCGUGUGGACCAUUGGCCCACAUAUCAGAUAUUAAACUGAUAAGAACAGAUACUACACUUGAUCUUAGCCAAAAGGCCGAGAAAGGUAUGCUUUUUCCUAUUGCUGGCUUUGCUUUUUAUAUUACACAUUUCCUCUGUUUCGUUCUUGGCUCCCUGAUGUGGGACUUACAGCACUGCACAAAACUUAGCCGACUUUCCCUUAUUAUCUUCACCUUUGAAUUUCUUACUCUCAUGUUCUUUCUUUUAUUUCCUUUGAAUUUCUUACUGUGGUAGUUCACUUCUUCCUAUUAGCAUCAAUCAAUUAAUAUUAUCAUUCAGGAAGCUAUUAACAUCCCAAGUAUUAUCAAACAGUUAGUUCCCUUAACUCACCUUUUUCUUUCUUUCAAUUCCUGUAACAUCAUUAACCCAAAUAUUUUUGUAUCACCAUGGGCUGCUUAUCAUGCAUGCAUCGCCUCACUACUGCUCUUUUCUCACGCCUAUGUAUUUUUAACCACAUCAAAUUAUUCUUUCUAUUCAAAAUCAACUUAAUUUUGUUUAAAUUAAUUAUUCUUUCAAUCCAAAAUCAACUUAAUAUUCUUCAAAUUAUUAUUUCUAUUCAAAAUCAACUUAAUAUUCUGUCACUAGUGCAAAAUGGAGAUUAAUAUAUUUUCAUUUUUAAAUGCAUGGUUUUAGUUAUUGAAUUAAAUUUUAUUUAUUUAUUUAGUCAAUAGAUAAAACAAUUCAGUAAUAAAUUGUUAAAACAAAUAAUUUGAUUUUAAUUCAUUAAUUAAGUCAAUACAUCUUAAUUGAUAAAAACAAAUAAUGAUUAAAACCCUCAUACGAGAAAUCGUUGCAGUGAAAAUCUUCGAAACCCAAAUACGAAACCUUCGAAAUCCAUCAUCAUCGUGAGAAAUCGUUGCAGCGAAAAUGAACGGGGAAGCCGAUCAAUAGCAUCACUUAUCACUUUCACUAAGAACCAUUUCUCCCUUUUCCCAUUAUGACAACUCGGGUUUCACUCAUUCUUAAUUUCUUCACUAUUUUACUCAGGUUUCACUUCUUCUUGCUUUUGGUUUCUUAUAUCAAAGUCUCAUUCCUCUUUGAUGGUGAGUUUUUGGGACAACUCAGAUGUAUCUUUUCUAGGACAUGAUCUUUAAUGUAUUCUGAGUUUUUUGGGUUGUUUUUUGUUGUAGAUAUGACUACGUUAUUUUGUAUAUUCUAUCUACUUUGUAAUAUUUGGAUAAUUGUUACUUUGAAUAUGUUUAUGAUGUCAAAGCAUUAUGUUUAUGAUCUUAUUGAUUACCAUUGUUGAUAUGUAUUUGGUGGUUAUAUUUGGCUAUAUUUUAUCUCUUUUGCAACUAGAUGGAAGUGAUCAUUUAGAGCCUUUAAGAAAUCGUCUCUCUCUCUGAGGGUUAUGAGCUACAAACUGCUAAAUUGGUGAAAGCCUCUGCAAAAAAUGUUGAUGAAGUUGUUAAAGAACUUCUUGAUGCCAAUCAGUAAGGUUCAUCAAACAUGCAUUGCAAGAGAGAUUAUAUCAUUACUAGAUCAUCCUUUUCUUCCAACAUUCUACACCUCAUUUCAGAUUUUUCUUGUGGAACAAAUAAAUCAAGUAAAAGUUUUUUUUUUGUUUAUUUUGAUUGUUAGAAUGAACUUAAAGCUGUGAUUUUGAAGAACUGCAGGACAAAGUCAGGUAUUAUUGUGAGGAAAGGCCUGACAUUUUUUUUGCUGUCUGAUUGUGUGGAAAAGCCUGGGGAGGGUAAAGUCAAUAGGACAUAAAGAUGGAACUGAUUUGGGAUCUAUUGUUGAUGGAAAAAUGGAGUUUACGAAUACAAAAUCAAAAUUCCAUGUUGUUGUUACUGCAACCGAUGCUGCUUACAGUCAAUGGGAAUGUAUGAUUAUGUAUUAUUGGUAUAAAAAGGCGAAGGUUGUGCUUGGAUCGAGGAUGUUAUUUUGGUGAAUUCUUGAUCUAAUAUCUAGUUUACCGAUCCUGACAUAAAGAACAAUACGAGGGAAUAAUGAUUUUCUUAUGAGAAGGAAUCAAAUUUGAUAUCUAAGACUUGCAACACUCACACACACUAUGCAACAACCAUUUGUGCUUUGACAUUAGAGAUUGUGAUUUGACACAAAAUCAAAUACAUGAUUUUAGUGUUGAAUUAUCAUAAUUUUUCUAAGUUAUUUUGUUUACUUUUUCAAGACUGAAAUUAUUCAAGAAUCCAACUUGUCCAAAUUCAAAUCAUAA
Long non-coding RNA from Lathyrus oleraceus (garden pea), 2348 nucleotides. RefSeq lists it as uncharacterized. Lineage: Eukaryota; Viridiplantae; Streptophyta; Magnoliopsida; Fabales; Fabaceae. The record is from RefSeq and is a predicted model, not a curated record. The transcript is spliced from 4 exons.